Molecule: long non-coding RNA, 919 nt
Filed under: Triticum aestivum (bread wheat)
Lineage: Eukaryota; Viridiplantae; Streptophyta; Magnoliopsida; Poales; Poaceae
Description: long non-coding RNA (TAES_LNC020096)
Source: RNAcentral
AGAGAACUAUGAUUAACUUCCCUCAAUGCUUCCUGCUGUUUGUUCCAUCAUCAAGGCGGAGGACCAUGAGGCGUGCAGGAGCAGGUAUAUGUAUCUCUUCAUCAGGGCAACGAAGGUAAAAUACUGAUGUUGCACAGCGCCGCGCCAGCGAGUGUGCUUGGCUGGCGGCGGCCGCAACAACCAUUGCGCCCGAGUAGAUCAGCAGCCCUGGUGGCGAGAUAGCAUCGAAGUUAGUCGUAGAAUUCCCACCACAUGUGCUUGUACUAGUUACCACGAGAGCAGCUGGAUUAUCUUGAGAUUGCUAUCAUGAUUAAUGAAGUCAGAACUUGCUUGUGCGCACGAGGUACGUGCACGUCCCAACUUCUCUUCAACUCAUACAAGAAGGAAAUGUCUGCAUACAAUGAGGCCAUGUACACAUGUAUCCUGAGGUCCUUCUCUUGACAGCCCUGUGGCGUCCGAAGGUAUCAGUGGCAAGGGCGCGUCUUAGCGGCCACAUUGGCGAUGGGCGCGUGUGUUGGUGCGGUGCACCCAUCACUCAGCAUUAAUUAGAACACCUAGGAGGCACUCCAAAUUAUCAGUUUUGCUAGAACUCAUCUAAAUGAGAUAUAAUUUGGUCUCAUUCAUCUUUUAUAGCCAUUGUAUGUGAUGCUAUAAGAUGCUAUAAGAUGCGUGUGUGCUGACGUGAAUGUUAUAUGUUCUUAUUUUCCAAGUGAAUGAGACCAAAUUAUAUCUCAUCUAGGUGAGUUCUAGGUACUCCCCCAAAUUAUAGCCGAGGAAGUGGAUCUUCGGACAUAAAGAUGAGACUAUGUCGCAGUCAUGCAUUAAGAAUAGUGCAAGCGAAUUCACUUACAUGACGAGGAAACUUGUUGUGACCAUGUAGCAGCUAUGGUACCAGCCAACAAUACAACCUCUUUUUUUU